UACGGUGGGUGCAAGCGUUAUCCGGAUUUACUGGGUUUAAAGGGUGCGUAGGUGGACAGGAAAGUCAGUGGUGAAAUCUUCGAGCUUAACUCGGAAACUGCCAUUGAUACUAUUUGUCUUGAAUACUUUGGAGGUAAGCGGAAUAUGUCAUGUAGCGGUGAAAUGCUCAGAUAUGACAUAGAACACCAAUUGCGAAGGCAGCUUACUACACAGUUAUUGACACUGAAGCACGAAAGCGUGGGGAUCAAACGGG
Molecule: ribosomal RNA, 253 nt
Filed under: uncultured bacterium
Lineage: Bacteria
Description: partial 16S ribosomal RNA
Rfam family: Bacterial small subunit ribosomal RNA
Source: RNAcentral